AUCACGGCAUUUUGUUUAUGUUUCAAAAGUUAUUAGGUGCAUUAAGUUUACUGUUUUUAUCCUACAUAGCUUCUUAAGCAGCAAACAAGAAAUAACGAAGAAGAGAUGGGCCAACAUUGAACAAAGCAAAAUAGAGAAAUCAGUUGCUUCAUGGCUGCCACAGACACAAUUAAAAACAAAGACUUAGAAAGGGGCAGGGUGUCAAAGAGCACCUGAAGAACAGGAAGAUGAGGAUCAUGAAGCCGCCGACGCUUGAAUGAUGUGUAAAUAAUGUAUUGUCAGAGUGUCUACGAACCGGGAAAUCUGGGAAUGAACUUAUUUUUUUACUGAAAUGUUCUGUUUUUAGUAAAUAUGGGUAAUUUUUAGUGGUAAUUGUCCUUAAAUAAUUGUGUGGGCCAUUUUAAGUAUGACAUAAAAAUUUGUUAGAAGAACAUAAAAGGUUUUUUAUAAAAUGUUUGCUUACAUUUUCAUCAUUUAUUACUAUAGAGUAAUUAUGCAAUAGAAACCACAUU
Molecule: long non-coding RNA, 512 nt
Organism: Macrosteles quadrilineatus (aster leafhopper)
Lineage: Eukaryota; Metazoa; Arthropoda; Insecta; Hemiptera; Cicadellidae
Exons: 3
Source: RefSeq, a predicted model, not a curated record